RNAcentral lists this ribosomal RNA (253 nucleotides) under uncultured bacterium. RNAcentral's name for it is "partial 16S ribosomal RNA". It matches the Rfam family "Bacterial small subunit ribosomal RNA", at positions 524 to 776 of the family's 1533-position model. The record is from RNAcentral.
UACGAAGGGGGCUAGCGUUGCUCGGAAUCACUGGGCGUAAAGGGUGCGUAGGCGGGGCUUUAAGUCAGGGGUGAAAUCCUGGAGCUCAACUCCAGAACUGCCUUUGAUACUGAGGAUCUUGAGUUCGGGAGAGGUGAGUGGAACUGCGAGUGUAGAGGUGAAAUUCGUAGAUAUUCGCAAGAACACCAGUGGCGAAGGCGGCUCACUGGCCCGAUACUGACGCUGAGGCGCGAAAGCUAGGGGAGCAAACGGG